RNAcentral lists this ribosomal RNA (429 nucleotides) under Chloroflexota bacterium. Its description in RNAcentral is "Chloroflexi bacterium partial 16S ribosomal RNA". It matches the Rfam family "Bacterial small subunit ribosomal RNA", at positions 355 to 776 of the family's 1533-position model. The record is from RNAcentral. Lineage: Bacteria; Bacillati; Chloroflexota.
UGGGGAAUAUUGCACAAUGGGCGCAAGCCUGAUGCAGCCAUGCCGCGUGUAUGAAGAAGGCCUUCGGGUUGUAAAGUACUUUCAGUCGGGAGGAAGGUGGUAAGGUUAAUAACCUUAUCAAUUGACGUUACCGACAGAAGAAGCACCGGCUAACUCCGUGCCAGCAGCCGCGGUAAUACGGAGGGUGCAAGCGUUAAUCGGAAUUACUGGGCGUAAAGCGCACGCAGGCGGUUGAUUGAGUCAGAUGUGAAAUCCCCGGGCUUAACCCGGGAAUUGCAUCUGAUACUGGUCAGCUAGAGUCUUGUAGAGGGGGGUAGAAUUCCAUGUGUAGCGGUGAACUGCGUAGAGAUCUGGAGGAAUACCGGUGGCGAAGGCGGCCCCCUGGACGAAGACUGACGCUCAGGUGCGAAAGCGUGGGGAGCAAACAGG